This 8740-nucleotide long non-coding RNA is filed under the name Triticum aestivum (bread wheat). RNAcentral's name for it is "long non-coding RNA (TAES_LNC018468)". The record is from RNAcentral. Lineage: Eukaryota; Viridiplantae; Streptophyta; Magnoliopsida; Poales; Poaceae.
UUUUUCUUUUGUUUUUCUGAGGUUUCUGCUUGAGUUUUCUUUUUCCGUGGCUUUGUGGUCUGGAAACUGAAGAAGAUGCCCUCUUCAUUGUUUCCAGACUAGCUUGUCAUUCCCAAAUCCUUCCCUAGACCCUGUCAUUUUCAUCCUAUCCCAAAUCCCAAUAUUCUUUUCCUUGGGAAUAUUCCUUUUCUAUUAAAGGAAUAACCCAAUUUGCCCUAGGUUGUGAAGCAACCUAUAUUUCUAUCACUCCUAAAAUUCCCAAAUAAUUCUCAUAAAUUGUUUGGGUCAUAUCUUCCUCAAAUACGGCAAAAUAUCUAAUUUGCCAUGUUCCUCAUCAUGCUCAAUUAAUUCAUUUCCUAUUCUGUCCUGAUGGCAGAAUGUGUAGCAAGUGCCAUUUAUCUUUGCCCAAUUGACCUCAAACUUGUUGGACACCUUUUCAUGUCCAUAUAAUUGCCUCAUGCCAAAAUUCAACUUAAUUUUCCUAGUAAAUAUUCCUGAGCAAUUUUUCAAAGUUCCUGUCUGAGGGAAUUGGUUAUGAAGGAAGUACUAGCUAGGUUAAUCCUAUUGAGUUGAAAUUUUGCAUGGCCCUCCAUAUCACUAAAUCAUCACCCUCCUCAAGAUCUGAGCUCAUGGAAUGCAUCCAUGUGAGCUGAGCAUCAAUUCUUUGUUUCUGUCCAAAUUUUCAGUUAGUGAAGCAAGUACAUUUUAUAUUGCUCCAUUAUUGCUGAAAAUUUUCCAGGGCCUUCUCCUACCUAUAUAACCUAUCUCUACAAAAAUUUGGGCAUAUUUCAUAUAGCCAUAUUCUAUAUGGGUGCUUCUUCUUGUUCUUGUUUCUGGACCAAGUUAUGUGGUUGUUAAGCAACUAUAUUAAAUACUGGUCCAAAUCAUCUCAUAAUUAAUAGGACGGUAGUCCUUCCUAACCUAAACUGCCCUGACAUCCUAUUUGGCUCUAAUCUCACCUCAGUUGAGCACUGUUUCACGGCCAAGUUUACUGCAGUGAACUUCAGACGACGAUUACCAUUUAACCACAACGUCUUUAACCAAGUUACCACUGCAGUUGAAACCGCUCCUGGAAGGACUAACCCCUAGACAUCGGUUGGCAUGGCUUGUGUCACUAUGUGCACCAGUGCACGCGGUGACCACCGUUUUGGCACGCACUGGCCGCGCCCAGAACGUCUUCUUGCUCGGGCCCCUUCUCUGCUCGGCAUCUCAGCGAGCACGGGCCUGUCUACCGUGUUCCCCGCGUCGUCGCCGUCCUCCUGGAGCCAUUUCCCCCUCCGUCCGCUUCUCCGUCGGUGCUCGUCGCCGCGCGCCCCCGAGCGAGCUGUAGCCGACAAGGCUUUAAUGGUGUUCGGCCGCUUCUCCUCUGUGCCCCUCGGCCCCUCCUGCCCUAUGCGCCUCUGUAGCUCGUCCGCACCUCCCUCGUCGUGAUCCCGCGCCCUCCCGUGAUCGCUGCCGUCUCCAGAGCAUGGCCGAACGCGAGUGGCGGCACCCAAGCCACGGCCACGCGUCCACGGCCUCCCCUCCUCGCCCCGCCUAUAUAUAGCCUACCCCGAGGCUGUUCGGCCUCACCACCAGCCUCACACCACCUCCAGCAACCUCCCUGGCCUCUCCCUCGAGCUCCAGAGCCCCUCCGCACCUCUCUCUGUCGCCAUGGCCGCCGCGAAGCUCGGCUUAAAUCCAAGCCAUCCGAGCCCUCCCCUCCCUCCUGACCUCACCAUAGCUCCACCUAGACCCCGGCGGUCCUCCCCGUGUCCUCGCCCCACCGCCGGAGCCACCUUGGCCACAUGCCCCAAGAUCAACCGCUGCCUCUGCCUCCUUCUUCCACCAACCGUCACCGCCUCCCCACUCCUCCCCGGGGCUUGUUUUCCCCCUGGAUGGAUGCGGUGGGCCGCGCCGCGCUCGCCGGUGGCCUCCCCUUGGCCGGAGCCGCGAGGCCAGCGCUGGCGCCCCUCCCUCUGUUCUGCGCCCGCAUCGGGGGGGAGAAGAGGAGGAGCGGGAGGAGGGAGUUGACCGAGCGCGUGGACCCCGCGGCCCCACCACUCAGUGACCUGGGGGGUUGACCCCGCUGACGCUGACGUGGCAAGUGGAGACGUAUUCGGGCGUGUGCGUUUUCAUCUCGAGAAAGCGUAUCGCGUGAAGUGCGCUUCCUAUUUGGGUAAGUGUAUCGUUUGUUCUUCGGGCGCAAAUGCGCUUUCCUCUCUAGAAAGCGUAUUUUCCGAAAUCUGCUUCUGCCUCAUCCACUCAGGGGCUUGUUUGUGAAGAUAUUUUUGCAGAUUAGUCCCUGAACUUCCUCACCUCACAACUUUUUACUCGUAACUCCAAAUGAGGUGAAUCCAAAGCCCACGUCUUUGUUUCGUCGAGCUUGUUCUGUUGGUUUCGUUUUCACUAUGGUUAGACACUGUGAAAAUGACCUUUUUGCCCUUGCCCCUAAUCAGCCCCCUUUGAGAGAGAACUUUUCCGGCGAUUUGUUCCACGAUCGUUCCGCACCUCUUCCCGGUGCCUUCUUCACCCCCAGGCAAGCCACAAUACCCACUUGCAUGAUAGCCAUGCAGUAGCCAUGGUUUUCAACCUGAAUAUUUGUUAAAUGAUUGCUUGUUUAAAAUAUGGUUAUCGUUGUUUCGGUAAUGCUUCUGGGUUAGUGCUUACUUGCUUGCUAUGUUGUUAUGCACCUGGUUAUCAUGCCCUGCUGUUGCUAGUAUUCCUUUCAUAUGCUUAUGCUUGCUAGUAGUACAUCUUGAUGUUCGUGAUGGUUUUCGGUGCAUGACUGUCGUCUGUCCUGAGUACCGUUGUUAUGCAUGUUCCAUUUCAUCCAGCUGGUUAAAUGCUUGCAUGAUGUCAUUGUUGAUAUGUUCUUGCAUGAUAUUUACUGAGUAAUGCUGUUGGUCUUGCUAUGUCUCGGAGAAGUAUGUAUUUGUGAUGUUCAUGCUAGUCAGUAUGCCAUGCUCAGUUGGAUAUGAUUCAUUGUUGAUAUGGUGGAUAGUUAUGUUGCACCCCGUGCUUAUGUUGAUAUCAUGCUCAUGCAUUGUAAUUGCAUCAUGUUAUUUCAUCAUGACUCAGCAUAUUGCAUUCAAGUUUAACCGGAUUAAAUUGAACUUGAACAACUGUUGGCUGAGUCAUGGUGCCACCAUAUCGAUCUGACCAGUGCAACCACGCUUACCUUUAUGGGAAGGUCCUUACUGGGUCUAUUGUCAUGCCUCUCGCCGGUGCCUCCAAUGAGGGAAGGUUAUGGGCGUGCGGUACCCUGGCCCGGUAAGCAGACAUAACCUUGUGUGCCUGUUGUUGUUGUUGUACCCGGGUUGUCCCUGUUUGGGACCGUUUAUGUUUUGGCCACGACGGUGGCCGUUGGUGCCUUUGGUAGGCACGGGGCCACCCAGGACUUAGCCCAAAGGGGAGUUGGUCGGAGUGGCCGGGAGAGUGUCAUGGCAGUAGGACGGUUCUGUCGGAACGCCGUUGGUCCACCCGAAUGGGAGUGCGAGGCCAUGGGUUCCGUGGUGUGGGUACAGUGUACUAACCUCUGCAGAGUGUAUAUUAAAUCUAUCGAUAGCCGCGCUCGCAGAUAAGGGCCCAGUUCGUGUCGGUCACACUGUGGGUCAAUAGUAUUAAUAAUAAUGUGCUUAAUAACAACCCUGGUUCGAUGAUGAGAUAAGUUGGUUGUGAUCGCCGGAAAUAUCACCGUUUGAGACCAAGUGUUGGUCAUGGUUGUGAUCACCGGAAAGAUCACCGUUUGGUUGCGAGGUAGCCCGUUGAACCCAGAGUGGUUCCGUUUGUGAUCUGUGAAUGAUCACCGUGGUAUCGAGGAUACCGAGUUGUUUUAUAUUCGUGAUGUUGUGCGAGAAUCGUGGGUAAAAAUCAAGCUCCUUGUGGUCAUUUAAUGAUUACUACGGUAUUGUUUAUACCAAGCUUGAUUUGAUCCUGAUAUGAUCGUGUGAUGUCCGAGGUUGGUAAGUGAUGCAUGUGAUGGUUACGAAGUAACCCGAGCAGAAUAAAUAAUGCAUAUAGUGUCAUCAUGUUGCAUGCUAGUAUCGUUAGAUUUAUAUGCUCAUGCCAUGCUCAUAUUGUUCUAGGUGUAUCGUGUUCAUAUUGUUGAUGCCAUGUUAUCCUGAUGACCUCAUGAAUAUUUCCUGUUUAACCUGUAAUUGCCAUGCUGUUGUUUGUCUUGAAUGCUUCUGGUUAUUGUGAGCUUGCAAGUACAUUCAAUGUACUGACCUGGCGUGCGUGCCAGCUUGCAGGUCGUGCCUGGAUUGCUUGCUUGUUUGGUGUUGUUCCUGUGUUCGCGAGCUAGGAUAAACGUUCCAGCCAAAGUCCCUGCGGAUUGGAGUCCAUCAUCGCCGUUCGUUGUUCCGCUGCCAGUAGUUGUUCCGCUGCUUCGAGUUGCUAUGCUGCUUGUAUAGAGAAAGCGUGGUUGGCGUAGUGUCGUCGUGCCGAUGUUAUUCAUUGUAAUAUCGGAACCCUUGUAUUCAUAUUCGUGUUGUCAUAGAGAGCUGGUUUGUUCUAUACUAAGCAGUGUCGUAUUCCAGAAGACUUCUCCUCGAUCUCUGAGCUGGAAUAUGGGGCGUUCCGGUUUUCUCUGAGCCGGGGUGCCACAACGCUUGGUAUCAGAGCAGGUCUGGCUAUAGGAUGCCCUAGCCCACGCGAACAUUAGAAAGCGGUAGUAUAGACCCCAGUUGGUUUGUUGCACUUGAUUGUUGCAUUUGUUUGUCGCAUAGCAUGCACAUAGAUUAUUAUUUUGUCACUAACGGUUAAUCUUGUGAGUGUUGGUGGCAUCGUUUUUGGUCCACCGCCUGUACCCUCCUUCUUAGCAUUUCUGCUCUUUGGUGUUCUGCGUCAUCUCUGUCCCAGCAGAGUGAUGCCCUGGUACCCAGAGUUCCAAACACCAUUUGCAGGAGUUAUGCUCAGGUAUCGCGUAUAUUUUUCUGCCACCCAUCCAUAUUAUUUCGGUGAUAGACUUGUUUCUAUCCCGAAUCAUGCCAUUUACCUCGUCCCUCUAGCAACCCUUACUGAUCUUGGUUAUCGGAAAAGGGCAAUGCCAGCGAGCCUUGUUUUUCCACCGCUGCCCUACCCAGUCAUUCUAUUCUUUGGACGUGUACGAAUCCCUUUCGUACGCUUGAUGAUGAUGUGGUCAUGACUUUUGUGUCUCGCUACUUGAUCCUCAAGUCCGUCCUCACCUGUGUAUCCAUCCAGAUACAGCCACUGUUCAGCCAGUGCUUGGUGUAGCUUCGGUUACGCCAACUCCUUCCACACAUGGAUAUAAUUUUCAUGCACACCGCCACAGCAUAUCAGACCGUAAUACUGGAGUUUCCGCGCGAUUUUUGUGCUUAGGUGUGCAUGCAUAUUAUGGUGUGAGUAGCAGUAAUAUGUGAUGAUUGCUUGAUUAAUUAUAUUAGUAGUAUGCUUGUGUGCUUUUGUUUUAGUCGUUUCUUUUGUUUCUUUCUUUGGGCCUCCAGUGCUACAAAUUUUCCCCCUAUUAAAGUUGCUCGUCAGCCGACACCGGACCCAAAGAGUCAGCAAGAAAUGCAUAUAUUUGGAAACUCAGCUAAACAGAAUGGAAUUGUCAGCAGACUGCAGUGAAAUUGGAAAUAGCUCGUCUGAAUACAAAAGAAAUCUUGGAUGGAAUGUCAGUAUAAAGUUUGCAUUAACGUGCACUCCUCACAACAGUAUGAAAAUCUCAGCCGACUGCAUUCAGAUUGGGGGAUAUCUGAUCAUGUUACUGAGUGUCAAGUCUCCCUCAGUGUGCACUCGUCAUAGCAGAAAGGAUCAAAUCAGCAAGAAGAUAAAUUGUGUGCAAGGUUGACAGAAUAUUAUCAAAGGUAUGGCUCAGAUACAAGUUUAAUUUUUUCGUUGAGGAUGAUUUUGGAACCCGAUGUACCUGGAAGCAAGCAAAAAUAUGGCAUGUACUCAGAAAGGAGGAUAGUCCUGCAAAACCCCGUUUCAUACAAGAAAUCAAUAACAAAAAUAUUAAGAUGGUUAUAUAUGUGGAAAACGGUCUGCAUAUCACAAUAAGAAGCUUCUGGUGUAAGCAACCCAAUCUUCCCUCGCAAGAUACCCGAGAAGCUUCCAAGGCAAGAUUCAUCUAUCUUCCUCAGUACGAUACAUGGAUGAUUUCCCGUACAAGGUACUUUGCCUUCUUCAGUAAGCAACCGCAAAAGCUUCCGGCAUAAGGUACUGAGUCUUUCCCCAGCAAAGUCUUUAAGGGGGUAAGCUUCUGAAGCACGAUACCCAGUCUUUUUCAGUAAGCUGUCCGAUGAAAGUUUCGAGCACAAGCCAGCCAAUCUUCCUCAUUAAGACAUUGGUACAAGGUAGUACGUUGUGAAUUGACAGCAUAUGGCAGUGAAUCCCAAGAAUCAGAUCCGCAACAUUUUGAUCAUACGCAAGAAUCAGUCAGAAUACACGUCUGUCUCGGGAAUCGGAUUCUCAUAUAUAUGCGGUGAGCAUACCACCAAGAUCUUAUAAGUCACUCGGAUGAGGAUCUAACAACCAUGUGAGGAUGGUUAAGAGAAGAAAGCCAGUAUACACCGCAGUGUGACAAAGGAUUAUGAGGAUUGACGACAUCAAUGAGCUCAAUACAAGUACCUGUGAACCUGGAAAAUGAUCCUGAUGAGCCCUUGUCCCCUUUUUCUCCAAUGACGGCACCGCACCUGUGAUCUAAGCUGUUUUUAGCUAUCCGGGGUGGAUGCCAAUUUUUAUUUCUCUCUUCAACGACUGCCAUGAGUUCUGAGCUGCUUUUCGGCCGUCUCGUACAGCUGUGGAGUUUCUUUUUUUGACAGCAGCCCUAUAGCUGCUUUUUGGCUAUUUUAGGGAGUUGCCACAUUCUUCUUAUCAACCCGAUCUCAUGUUCUGAGAUGCUUUUCGGCCGUCCUGAGCCGUGGUUGAGUUAUUUCGGUAAUGUCCCAGAUCUGAGUUGUAAAGACCGUUCUGGUGGCUACUGAUUUAUUUGCCGAUUUCUUGCAAAGGUUCGGAUGAUCAUUUUCCUGCGGUCAGAAAAAUGAGGAUAAGCUACGAUUGCCGAAAAAUUGCACCGACAGUACCUAUGGUGAUACGAAGAAGCAAUAUGACCCAGCUCUUUCAGCCAAGGAUCCAGACCAAGAAAACAAUAAUGAAGGAGCAAGACCAGUGAUGCAGGUAUGAAAAUUGUUGCAAGACCCGCGUGGUGCAGAACCACCGUCAGUCAAGUCUGCAGAUAUUAUCAUACAGGUCAAACUCUUAUGCUAGCCACGAUAGGCGACAAUCAUAUAUUUGGUACGGAUCCGAUACUCAAGACAGUGGAACCAGUUAAGAUGAUUCAGAAACUUCCGUGAUAAGCCAGAAUCUGUCAGGAAAGCGGUUAUGACCCAACCCACUGUUUGGAACCCGAAGGACCUGCAUUUAGUGGAGAAACCCAAUGCAAGGACUUAGAGCUUGGGUGUCCACUAGAAAAAUCUGAUCAUCACUUCAUGAAAGAUUGUCAGUGCCGGAUGACACACCUAGCGGAAAUCACUCUUGGAUUUGUGAGACCGACAUAUAUUUCAGUCGUGAGAAUCAAUCACAGUCAGCUAAGUUAGCACAUCUGAAAAGAAAUUGGAGCCUGUAUAAGCAUGAACAAGCAAGGUAAGAUCUGUCAGAAUAUGGAUAUAUAAAAGCAAACCACCCCAGGACCAGUCAGAUAAAAAUUUAGUGGGAACAAAAAUAAGAAAAAGGAUACCCGAGUUGGAAACGGUUUCCUUAAGUCAGUAUCUUCAUACUUGUUCCCUGAGCAACCAAAUCUCGAAGACGAGAUUUCUUUAAGGGGGUAAGGUUUGUGACAGCCUGCUUUUUGGCCCUUUCUUUUUUCUUUUGUUUUUCUGAGGUUUUUGCUUGAGUUUUCUUUUUCCGUGGCUUUGUGGUCUGGAAACUGAAGAAGACGCCUUCUUCAUUGUUUCCAGACUGGCUUGUCAUUCCCAAAUCCUUCCCUAGACCCUGUCAUUUUCAUCCUAGCCCAAAUCCCAAUAUUCUUUUCCUUGGGAAUAUUCCUUUUCUAUUAAAGGAAUAACCCAAUUUGCCCUAGGUUGUGAAGCAACCUAUAUUUAUAUCACUCCUAAAAUUCCCAAAUAAUUCUCAUAAAUUAUUUGGGUCAUAUCUUCCUCAAAUAUGGCAAAAUAUUUAAUUUGCCAUGUUCCUCAUCGUGCUCAAUUAAUUCAUUUCCUAUUCUGUCCUGAAUAGCAGAAUGUGAAGCAAGUGCCAUUUAUCUUUGCCAAAUUGGCCUCCAACUUGUUGGACACCUUUUCAUGUCCAUAUAAUUGCUUCAUGCCAAAAUUCAACUUAAUUUUCCUAGUAAAUAUUCCUGAGCAAUUUUUCAAAGUUCCUGUCUGAGGGAAUUGGUUGUGAAGGAAAUACUAGCUAGGUUAAUCCUAUUGAGUUGAAAUUUUGCAUGGCCCUCCAUAUCACUAAAUCAUCACCCUCCUCAAGAUCUGAGCUCAUGGAAUGCAUGCAUGUGAGCUGAGCAUCAAUUCUUUGUUCUGUCCAAAUUUUCAGUUAGUGAAGCAAGUACAUUUUAUAUUGCUCCAUUAUUGCUGAAAAUUUUCCAGGGCCUUCUCCUACCUAUAUAACCUAUCUCUACAAAAUUUGGGCAUAUUUCAUUUAGCCAUAUUUCCUUAGGAUUUUUCCUAAGUUUAUGUCCACAGAGGAUAGCUAUGAAGGAAGUACCAUUUUGGCUUGGCCAAAUGGCAUGAAAUUUUUGUGGCACUCUCAUAUGACCAAAUAACCCUGCUAUGUUCAUUUUCAG